GUUUUGCUUCUUUUCAGGGAUAUAACAGCACUGGUAAUUAAUGUAUUGCCCUUAUGUGCUCUUUUUCAUGUACUGGAUUCAGCAAUUUGCAUAUUUAGUGGACUUCUCAGAGGAAUUGGCAAACAGGGAAUAGGAGCUUUAGCAUACGGCAUUGGAUAUUGUGUCUUUGUUUUCCCUAUUGGAGUUCCGCUUAUGUUUGUAGCAAAGCUUGGAAUAGGAGGCUUUUGGAUUGGAGUAAUUAUUUGCUAUUUUGUUAUCAAUAUUUUCUUUUCAAUUUACUUUUGGAAAUUAGACUGGAAGAAUGUAACAAUAAAGGCCCAAGAGCGAGCUGGAUAUGGUUCCCAUAAAGGAAAGUGCUACAGAUUUCAAUUGCAGCAGUACUGAUAAACCAGCUAAUUUGGAAUUGAAAAAUUAUGCUUCAUUGGAUUCUACUUAUACAGAGACAGAACUACAUGAUGAACCGCCAAAUCUUCACCGAGAGAAGAUUGAACAACCACUUAAAAAGAUAAUCAUCCGCCGUGUCCUAGAAAUAAUUGUUAUUGUGUCUGUUUUUCUAAUUAGUCUUACUAUUAGAUUAACUGUGACACAUGCCUAGCUCCCUUUUAGGAACAAGUGUUAUAUAGAAUCUAGAAAUAAUUAUCAUCUCAAUUUAAUCACAAACCAUUAUUUACUUUACAGUUUUGUACACAUGUGCACGAUAUAAAUCUUUGCAAGCAAUUAUAUCAGUUUUACAAAUCUCAUAUUUAUCUUUUGUUACAUCAUUUUGUUACUUGAAAAUGUCCUUUUUAAAGUGUAUAUAACUCGAUAGAAGGAAGGUUUGUAGAAUAAUAAUAAUAAAUAAAAAAUAACUAUAUGUAUGAUCCUUUAAUUGUGACAAUCCAUCAUGUUGUAAAGGAAUAUUAAAGGGACAGUGUACUGUAAAAUUGUCUUUAAUCUUAA
Bombina bombina (fire-bellied toad) is the source of this 939-nucleotide long non-coding RNA. RefSeq lists it as uncharacterized. Lineage: Eukaryota; Metazoa; Chordata; Amphibia; Anura; Bombinatoridae. The record is from RefSeq and is a predicted model, not a curated record. The transcript is spliced from 5 exons.